Atta colombica is the source of this 1929-nucleotide RNA transcript. It is a transcript of the gene named paired box protein Pax-6-like, with no coding region annotated. NCBI's taxonomy places the organism in Eukaryota, Metazoa, Arthropoda, Insecta, Hymenoptera, Formicidae. The record is from RefSeq and is a predicted model, not a curated record. The transcript has 10 exons.
ACCUCCGGGACUGUGAUUCGUAUAUGCGAGGUGCAACGAAAGUAAGAAUCAGCUAACGGAUUCGCAGUGGUGCCUUUAUCGAACGAAGACGUCGGAGGGAGGACACCGUCGGCCGUCGGCAGCUCUUGUGAACGAGAAGUGUUUAAAGGCCCGAAGAUUCUGCCUUCGCAGCAACUGGGCGCUGCGGUCGCUCCAUGGCCGGGCGCAACCGGCCUCAUAGCUUCGGUCACUGCUGACGACAUGGCACACAAAGGACACAGCGGGGUAAACCAGCUGGGGGGUGUCUUCGUCGGCGGUCGGCCACUUCCGGACUCAACACGGCAAAAGAUCGUCGAGCUUGCACAUUCGGGCGCACGGCCAUGUGAUAUCUCCAGGAUAUUACAGGUCAGCAACGGCUGUGUCUCCAAGAUCCUCGGCAGGUACUAUGAGACCGGAUCUAUAAGGCCCAGGGCCAUAGGCGGCAGCAAACCGCGCGUGGCAACGGCAGAGGUUGUCAGUAAGAUCUCGCUCUACAAAAGUGAGUGCCCGUCCAUCUUCGCGUGGGAGAUUCGAGAUCGCUUGUUGCAGGAGGGAGUGUGCACGAACGACAACAUUCCGAGUGUGUCUUCGAUCAACAGGGUACUGAGGAAUCUGGCCGCGCAGAAGGAGCAGAGGCAGCAGCAACAACAACAGCAACAAGGGGUGGGCGCCGUGGGGGUUGGCGUCGGUGCCGGCAGUCCGGCGGAGAGCGUUUACGAUAAACUCAGGCUACUAAACGGACAGACUACCGGCUGGCCGCGACCCAAUCCCUGGUAUCCGUCGAGCGCGGGAAGUCCGUUUUCGUCGAUACAAUCUAGUUUGAGUCCGAGCCAUUGUUCGUCUUUGCCACCGGAUCCAGCGGAUAUAUUGCACGCGAAGAAAGUAACCGAGCUCGAGGGUGGCGCGCACUCGGACGAGACGAAUAGCGGUGGUGACAACAGCAACGCUGGCAGCGUGUCAGGCGGCGCCGAUGACGACCAGGCGCGUCUUCGCCUAAAGAGGAAACUGCAAAGGAAUCGCACGAGCUUCAGCAACGAGCAGAUCGAUGCUCUCGAGAAAGAGUUCGAAAGAACGCAUUAUCCGGACGUAUUCGCCAGGGAAAGACUUGCCGGCAAGAUCGGCCUACCGGAGGCACGAAUACAGGUCUGGUUUUCGAAUCGGCGGGCCAAGUGGCGGCGCGAGGAGAAAUUGCGCACGCAACGGAGGGAUAAUCCACCACCGCCACCGCAGCAGCAGCAGCAACAGCAACAACAGCAACAACAACACACUGCCGGCGUGAGUCUAGUGGGUGCUGGCCAUCCGACGCCGCCGCCACCUUCGGGGAUACUCGGGGGCCAGCCGCCUCCGCAAGUACCACCCUCACCACCUAGAAUACAUCAUGGAUUUGCGCCCACCGCUGUGUACCCUGGAAUACCCAGCAUGCCUGAUUCGUACAGCCCGAUGACGUCGAUGCCGAGUUUCACGAUGUCGGGCGCCAGUCAACAGAAUCAACACACGACGAGUAGCAUGUCCUCGCUAUCCACCGGGGGUGGCAUGAGUCCAAUGGGUAUGACCGUGGGUAUGACCGUCGGACCGAGUCCUGGCGCGUGCCUCCAACAACGGGACAAUGGCUAUUCCUGCGGAGUCGCGAGACCACCGAGCUACGAGCCCCUUCACCUUGGUUACGGCGCUAGGCCAACCUGCAGCCCUACGCAGCCCUAUCACGCGGCGAGCCUCAAUCAGUACAAUCAAAACGCCAGCUCGACCGGUGAGUGUCUACCGCACUCACUGCAUUCGCUGCUUGCACUCUAGCCGAUGGACUACUACUACGGCUACCAUGGAUAACACGCUAUCGAGCCCGCCGGUCUAAUAUCACCUGGCGUGAGUGUGCCGAUCGCGGUACCAGGUCAACCGGCACCCGAUAUGGCGGCG